MicroRNA precursor from Sorghum bicolor (sorghum), 171 nucleotides. It matches the Rfam family "MIR6224 microRNA precursor family". The record is from Rfam. Lineage: Eukaryota; Viridiplantae; Streptophyta; Magnoliopsida; Poales; Poaceae.
ACUCUCUCCGUCCUAAUAUAUAAGGCGCAAUCACUUUUUAUUUAUAUCCCAUAAUAUAAUAGCUCUCUCUCAUACAUCAAUACAGUAGUACUAGUAUUGAGAGAGAAUUAAAUAUGAUCUUGAUUUUUGAACCAAAGGUAGUUAAGCCUUAUAUACUAGGACGGAGGGAGA